GAUGAACGCUGGCGGCGUGCUUAACACAUGCAAGUCGAACGAAGCGCUUGAGAUUGAUUCUUCGGAAGAUUUCUCUUGUGACUUAGUGGCGGACGGGUGAGUAACGCGUGGGUAACCUGCCUCACACAGGGGGAUAACAGUUGGAAACGACCGCUAAUACCGCAUAACCCGCUAGGGCCGCAUGGCCCGGACGGAAAAGAUUUAUCGGUGUGAGAUGGACCCGCGUUGGAUUAGCUAGUUGGCAGGGUAACGGCCUACCAAGGCGACGAUCCAUAGCCGGCCUGAGAGGGUGAACGGCCACAUUGGGACUGAGACACGGCCCAAACUCCUACGGGAGGCAGCAGUGGGGAAUAUUGCACAAUGGGGGAAACCCUGAUGCAGCGACGCCGCGUGAGUGAAGAAGUAUUUCGGUAUGUAAAGCUCUAUCAGCAGGGAAGAAAAUGACGGUACCUGACUAAGAAGCCCCGGCUAACUACGUGCCAGCAGCCGCCGUAA
RNAcentral lists this ribosomal RNA (495 nucleotides) under uncultured bacterium. RNAcentral describes it as "partial 16S ribosomal RNA". It matches the Rfam family "Bacterial small subunit ribosomal RNA", at positions 28 to 523 of the family's 1533-position model. The record is from RNAcentral.